CAAAAACCUCAUCAUACAGCGAUUUCCUUGUUAAGCGAGGCAAUCGUUAAGCAAGGCACCACUGUAUAAGACCCUGUCUUAUUUUCAGGGAAACACAGUAGGUAGGUAGGUAGGUAGGCAGGCAGGCAGGCAGGCAGGCAGGCAGGCAAGCAGGCAGACAGACAGACAGCCAGAUGACCAGGCUGGUAGCACAUGCAGAUAUAUUGCCAACUUAGUAACAAUUACAAUUAAUUACAAACGAAGUAAAAAUGUAUAGCCUUUUAAAGCCCAUUCAGCCAGGCCUCCGGAGCCUGAAAGCAGGUAAGCCAGGACAGGUGGAAAAAGAAGGAAAAUUCUAGAGUGUUUGACACCAUUGUUUCCCCAACUGGCAUCUUUUUCUCUCUCCAGGGACUUUCCCUGGCUACUUCCAGCGUGGCUCUCGGAAGGGAAAACAUACGAUAGAAAGGAAACGAGACGCCAACCCAAAAGAAAAAAGCAGAUUGAGAGGGGCCCCCUCAGCCAUGGCUUGGAGCACCUGCCGAGGGUGUCUCCUGAAGCGACGACAUUUGUGGUGGGGUCUGUUGUGGCAGUUCAGGUUGCUGCUGCCGUUGCCCCUGCUUGGGCGGAAAGUCCACCACCGUGCCAGGUUGGAGGGUGGAUCGCCCGAAAAGACCCCUCAAGACUGGCACCAGGGACGCCACGAGGGCCCACAGGCUGAACUGUAACAAGAGAUACCCUAAUGAGUCCUGAAGGGCAUAACACAAAGAUCACUUUUUGCAAAGGCAUUGGAAACUCUAAAAGACCUUGAAGAAUACAACUACACCCCUGGAAGUGAUCUGCCACAAGCAGCUUCCCUAAUUUCUCUAAUUAGAUAUUAUGUAACUUCUCCCAUCCAAUCUAUAUUCUGUCACCUUAGCCAGCUCAGCAAGGACACCCAAAGAUCUGUCUGUUAAGACAAUGUGUUUGUUUAACAGUAACACCACAAGGCAUGGCUCCAAACUCAGCAUGACGAGUACCAUGGAAGGACUGCUGGAUGCCUAUUGCUAUUGUGCCAAACUUUCUUUCAACCAGCUGUAGGGUGUUGGAGUGGGUUGGGGUUGGGGUUGUGGAAUGGAAGUUGAUGUCCCUCAUCAGUGCCUGUCAUGUGAUUCCACCAUGAGUCAAUAAAUAGCAUUUUGUUCUAACA
RNAcentral lists this long non-coding RNA (1165 nucleotides) under Pogona vitticeps (central bearded dragon). RNAcentral's name for it is "lncRNA (ENSPVIG00000002777.1)". Lineage: Eukaryota; Metazoa; Chordata; Lepidosauria; Squamata; Agamidae. The record is from RNAcentral.